GUCAGCUGCAUAGCUCAGUUGGUGAGAGCAUGGUGCAGAUAACACCAAGGUUGCAGGUUUGAUCCCCUCCAGACA
Podarcis lilfordi (Lilford's wall lizard) is the source of this 75-nucleotide non-coding RNA. The record is from the annotation of a GenBank genome assembly. Lineage: Eukaryota; Metazoa; Chordata; Lepidosauria; Squamata; Lacertidae.